AUGGGACAGCAACCGAGUCUUCCAGGAGAGGAGAGGGGCUGUUGUCUCCAAGGAGGCAGCCAGACCAAGCGCUCAGGAAGGCUCACCCAUCUGAGCUUGGUCUCUUUCUACACGGCCCUGUGGGAAGAGAGGACACCAAGGAAGUCAGAGCACAGUGUGCAGCUCAGGGUUUGUGACCACAGUGGAUUUCAGCAAGAAGUUGGUUAAGUCUGAGCACGGAUGUCAGUCAGAGAAGCUUCCUCAAACAUCAUGUUGCAAUGGAGACCAAGUCUCUCUGUGGUACCUACCUCUCAAAGACAGGAUCCUAAGAAAGGCAUCGGGGGCAUCAAAGCAGAUAUGUUGGCAUAUAUGUGUGAGACAGUUUUAUGUCAACUCGAGACAAAGUAAAGUCAUCUGAGGGAAGGGAACUUCAACGAAGAAAAUGUCUCCAUAAAACCCUAUAGGGGAUUUUCUUAGCGAUUGAUGGAGAGGGCCCAGUCCAUGGUGGGUGGUGCCAUCCCUGGGCAAGUGGUCCUGGG
RNAcentral lists this long non-coding RNA (518 nucleotides) under Rattus norvegicus (Norway rat). RNAcentral's name for it is "long non-coding RNA NONRATT033027". The record is from RNAcentral. Lineage: Eukaryota; Metazoa; Chordata; Mammalia; Rodentia; Muridae.